AGCGUGUGUGGAUCUGAAUGUGAAGGCUUAGAUUUUAGGUAAAAACACAGGGUAGAUGAGGUUAAAGUCUCAGGAUAAAGAAGCAGGACCCGAUGGGGCCUUCCUGGGAUAGACCUCCCCAUGUCCUGGCCUGCCUCUUGUUUGUGGAAAAGCUUUUGUCUCCCAGGCCUCUGUUGGUCACAACAGGGUGGCUCAAGAGUUAAUGAUUGGAAGAAUGUGAACACGUAUAACAAAAGACAGCAGCUGGGUCAGGAGAACAGGUAAUAAUUUAAACAAUAGAUCAGCCAUACAGUAGAGUCACAGAAUCUUUAGUUCUUCCCUGAAGAAUAUAAAUGACAGUACCUGACACACAUUCCUGAGCUGUUUCACAGAUACUCAAACCCCCACCAGAUGGAAGGAGUUAACUGCAUGAUGACCAUGUACAUGUAGCCCCCAGACCAGUUGGAACCAGAAGGUUGAUGAUGUUGACUCCAGAAUGCAUUACCACCAAUCAAUCAGAAGCAUGUCUACGAGCUGAUCAAGCACCUCACAACUCUCUCCCUUACCCUGUCUUUGGAAACCUUUCCCCAAAAGCCAGUGGGGACUUCAGGCCUUUUGAGCAUUAGCCGCCCAUACUCUUUGCUUGGCCUUGCAAUAAAUGCUGCACUGUCCUUCACCACAACCCAGCAUCAAUAGACUGGCUUUACUGCAUUUGGAUGAAUGGACCCAAGUUUGGUUCGGUAGCAUCAGGUUCCACUGAGACAUGGGCCACCUCAUUAGUUCACCUACACAUUCUUCAGCAGGAUCAUAUGCCUGUGUUAAACCAGGAACUCAGAGUCUAGACAGGAAGGCAGUCUCAGGAACAGACAAAUUACAUUAUAAGGCAGUCCGUGCAAGCACAGAGGGAAAAGCACAGCGCCUGGGAUCCAGGGAAGACGGAGGAUUGGGAGAAACAAGAGAAGGAUUCACAGAGGAGGUGAUUUUGAACAAGAGUGGAACUUACCACAUGAAAAAACAGUUGAAAUUUAUUCCCCUUAAAGAAAGGAGCAUGUGCAAAGACCAGGGUGUGUCUGGCAGAACGGUGUGGAAUCCAGUCUAGGGGCACAGAGUGUAUAUAUGGGGUUACAGGUGGUGUAGGUUGUGGCCAGAUUAGGUGGUAGUUGCAGGACAAACUAAGAUGUUGGGCAGCACCCAGGGGUGAGUCUCUACCAAGAGGUGGUGCAGAGUACUGUUUCAGGAUUGAAGCCAGACUGUCUGCAUUGGAAUCCCACCUUCCCAGCGACUAGCUGAGUAAUCUUGGACAACUUCUCUGUGCCUUGGUUUCCUCAUCUGUACAAUGGGUGUUAAUAACUACUUCCAGGACCAUGAGGAAGACUAGACAGCUGAACACACAUGAAGUGCUUAGAGUAGCUUGACACACGUGAAGUGCACAACGUAACGUUAGCUAAUAACCGCUGUUAUUCCACGGAGGGCCAGGGGAACCUCAAGAUUAAGGGAUGAACAGGGGACCAGGAACCUCUAACCAAGUCUCAGAAGUAACAGCAGAGUGGUUGGAGGAAGACUAUGAGGGCCACCUGUCAUAGAAGCCAUGGCAAGAGGAUGUUUCCAGAAGGAAGGGUCAACAGGGUCAAGGGUGCCGAGGUGUCAGGCAGGAUGACAGCCAAAGGUGCCAUGGAUUUAGCAACAAGGAAGUCACCGUUGACUUUAGCCAUUGCAGUUUUGGUGAUGUGGUAGAGACAGAGGCCAGUUUGCAGUAUAUUGAACACGUGGGUUGGGAGGAACCGGGGAGAGUGACGCCAACUCUUCCAGCUGUUUGGCCUGCAAGGGACGCAAGUGAGAGGCAGCAGAGGUGGAGGGACGGUGAGGUCGAUAACCAUGUGCUUUGCCAAAUACCCACUGCAUCCCGCCAUUGUCUCCUAUGAGGUUCACAAUAUCUGGUCAGCUAAGCAGCAGAAAGAGCAGAAAAUAUAAGUCAGAAAUGAGGACACGUGUAUAGACAGAUGAAGAAUGGCAGAGCUGGGAGAAAGGCCAGCUACCCAUUUCCUCUCCCUUUUCAUGAUGUGAUUGUGGGCAAGGGGGAACUGGGCAAGAGGGUGGAGGAUGCUCAGUGCCGUCUGCCUGCUUUACCACACCUGGAUGUAAAGGACCCAUCUCUUGAAGGUGGAUGGAGGAGGUGGCAGAAGAGGUUGGUGACAGAUUCCUAUAAACUAAUAUACGCUGGGUGCCCAAUAUGUCCCAUCCUACUGAAUCACAUCAUAUCCAGGUGGUGGGAGAAAUCUUUGGUUGAAAUUGGUUCCAGCUAGAAACGGGAGGCAAGAUGGAUCCCACAUCAGCAGAGGCAACACUGUCUAUUUUUCACUCCUGCCCCUCUCUGCAAUCCCUUCUCUGACAUUUUAGAUAGGUCUGGUCUUUCUUUGACUCUGCAGCUGGGGAGUUGUGGGUGGGAGUGGCUUGGAGGUUGAUGUGUCACUUAAAGCAGCAAUGCUUGUGGGAAGUAAAAUGCAUCCUUCUGAUUUGUUUGGGAAAUGUCUUUAUGUCAAGGACUUUGGAACGAUAAAACCAUAAUGGUGGGAUUUUGGAAAAUCAUUUUCCAAACCAGGGCACAGGAGACCCAAAGUGGGAUAUUUCAAGGAGAAAACCAGUGGAUGCCUGUCCAACAUGAAGCAGAAACAUGGCAGGAGGGCUGAGAGGCGCAGGGCAGCCUUCAUGGCAUAUGAUUUGUGCAGACUCUGCUGUUGCAUGCUUGAAAUUUUUAGUUUUUAAACAAGACCUCUCAUUUUAUUUUGCACUGGACCCUGCAAAUUAUGUGAACCUCCUGGUCAGGGCCGCAGGCUUGGUGGAACACAUGGACUGCAGACUUCAGCUAGGUCUGGCAGGCAGCAGCCCUGACUUCAGAUGCUCCCCACGUGAACCUGGCUCCUGAAACUCACCCACCCUUGGGAAAGCUGGGCCAGCCAGCGGGAGUUGAGACAGAACCUGGCCAAUUUGCAGUCAGCUCUUAAGAGCAGCUGUAAAGAUGCCUCAGACAAACCGAGCAGGGAGGGAGGAAACACAGAACAGUCCUGGAAACCACGAUAAUGAGCAGGGCUCUGUGCUGCAAGCCUUCUGACACAUUUCCAUAUUUAGUCCUCACAAUGGUCCUAGUACAGAGGCACUGGGAUCCCAGUUUUAGGGAUAAUGACCCAGAGGUUCAGGAAGAUGAUCAGAAUUGAUGGUGCUGGUAAGCGGUGACCUGAAUUAAAAUGCAGGUGUCUGGAUCCCAAGUCCAGUGCUUUUCCUAUUACACUAGAGGAUAGAGGUGAAGGCCAGGGGACCCAGAUGUCCAGGCUGUGCUGGCUAGCAUAUCCCAGGCCUGGCUCCAGUUCUGAGCUAAAUGCACUCUCUGUGACCAGUUCAGCUCACUCCAGAGCCCAUGAAGCCAGACCUGGCAGUGGAGGUGUCUCUUUGGGUGGCCAACUCUAAGCUGAGCCUGAGAGCCAGGCCUAAAGGGCAAUGAAGGAAGAGCAUCCCUGCUCAGGCUCCCCUGAGCUCCCAGAGCUGUGGCCCCAAGAUGAACUGGGAAAUUGGUGGUGAGCAGAGGUGGGACCCAGGCGUCCACCUACUACCUCAGGGGGAGAGGGCUCCUCAGGGGACUUUCCUAGCAGCAUGUGGGCGUGUUUGCUGAAUCAUGGGUGACCUUGUUGGUGUUGGUGGGUAUAUUUUGGGGUCAAACUGUUGCCACUUCCUGCCCCUGCGUCCUUGCUCUGUUGGGUGGAAAAGCUGGGGCUUUUUUCUUCUACCAUUCCCUGCAAAGUUGGCAUCGUGCCCUGGCCUCCAGGUGGGCUGCAGGAACCCUGCAGGGCUUUCCAGCAUCCCAGGGGCCCCGAUCAUGCCCAGCUUCUCUCUCUGACCACAGCCCAGCUCUCUGGUCCUGAGCAUAAAGCCAGAAAACCACAGAGAAGGAGCCUGUCUGGGAGUUAAGGUGGGUUAUCUUCAGGGCUCUGUCACGGGGUCCCCAUGUGACAACUCGCGUUUCUUUUCUGGGCUUCCGGCUCCUCAGCUGUAACGUGAGAUGGCCCACCCCAAUUGUCCUGAGCGUCCUCCUGAGCGCUGGGGGGAUGUGGCACACACCUGACCCACGCUGACCCCCCGAAUACACCCACAGAGACUUUGCAAUGUGGCUAUUUUUGGUCCAGAGCCGAAUGGCUCAAGAACCACAAAACUGAGGCUACAAAACAUUCUGAAUCUAAGCCUGUGUGUUGCCUAUCAGGCUUCUUUGAGUUUCUGGCUUCCUGGGAGCUUUCUAAGUUUCAGAUGACCCUGGCUCCUAGGGUGGGUGGGAUCUAAAUGCCUCAGGGACUUGGAUCAGCCCUUAUUAGGCUCUUUGCCCUCUAUCCUCAUCAGAAAGGGCAGGGAGCCCUCCCCAGCAGGCUCUCUCAGUACAACAGGCCUGAUCCGAAAGGCCAGAUCCACCUCGGAUGGACGAGGGGGCUGUUUAGGGUGUAGAUUGUGGGCAGGGCUCUAUCUGCCCUUAGGGACCCAGAAUAUCAUUUCAUGCCAAACCAGAGAAGGUCUCAGUAGCCAUCCAGGCUAGAGGGAAGUGGUGGGAUUGGAUUAUCUGGGGAGCCCUUUCGAGAUACUCCAACUACCUUGAACUCAGAAUACAAAGGUCCGCAGUGAGGUUCAAGCACGUGUCUUUGGAUAAAAGCUUCCCAAAUCAUCCUGAUAUGAAUCCCAUUUCCGGGUAAAGAGUCACUGAUUUAGGCCAACUUCCCCACGUUUUAGGUGGGAGAACUGAUGCCCAGAGGCAGGAAGUAGCCUGCUCAAGGUCCCACAGAAAAUGAGCGGCAGAGCUCAGAAAUCCUGAUUUUUCACCCUCUUUCUACAGAACCCCACCUCCGUCACCUCUCCUGGAUUCCUUCAAACUUCCCAGUCUGACUGCCUGCUUCCAGUCACUGUGUCCUGCAGCCUCUAGCACAAGCCCUCAGCACAAACCACACAUCUGGCCGCACCCCUGUCGCAAGCAAAAGAUUACUUAAGGCCUUCCCUCCACUGACAGCAAGCUUAGGUCCCAAGGUCUGAGCCCAGAAACAGGAUCUUGUGAAACCCAGCCCAGGUCCUCCUGGCUCCAUUUCCAGCCCCUCUCUGCAGGCCUUCCUCACCCCCGCAUGCCCUGAAGACAUCAGCCUCCACACCAGCUAUUAGCAUGCCAUCAAACAAUUGUUUGAUUCUCCUUAAGAGAUACAGCACGUUUCGUUUUCACAGAAGCUUAUGAGCGGGUAUCAUUAUUAUCCCUGUUUGGAGAUGAGGCUGGGAGGUUAAGAAAGGGAAAGAAGUCCCGCCAGUGGUGUACAGAGGAGCUGGGCCUGGGGGCCAGGCAGAGCCCACCCUUAUAACCACACACAAUAUACCAUCCAGGCCCCUGCCCAGGGGAAAUUCCACCUUCAUCCUUCCAGGCCCAGCCAGUAUUCCACAUUGCACCCCAGUGAGCUCUCCGCUCCCCUAGAGGGGGCGUGUGCAGAGUCUAGUCUGCAUAUUAUAGCAGCCUUGACCAUCUGUGCCUGCUUACUGGUUUGCGUAUCUGUUUCCCUCUGGAGGCCCUGACUCUGUGGUCAGCUCUCCUCUCUCACCCGACUGCCCAUGCACAAAGUGGGCCCUCAGAAGAUGUUUCCUGAAUGAAUGAGUGAAGGAAUGAAUGAAUGACCACAUCAGGAACUGAGACCUGUCACCAGCAUCCUGUGUGUGGAAUGGUGCCCAUCAGCACAGUCGGAAAAUGGUCCAUCCAUGCCAGAGGGUCCAGGGGGGUAUAAACAAGCCCAGGGUUUGGGCCAGAGCUUCUCAUCCUAAUUCUGUCACUUGCUACUUGUAUGACUCCUGUCACCUCCAGGGCCUCUGUUUCUCAUCUGCGGCUGGGGGAUGACGAGAAUGAUGUGAAGGCCUCUCCUUCCGCCUGCUUUAGCAACAGUCACUACGCACCCACCCUGGGUGGGGCGCUGGGGCAUGAAGUGAGGACCACGACAGGGACUGCUGCUCCCCGGGAGCUUCCAGGUGAGGGAGGGGUGUGGACCACCAGGCAGUCACAAGAUUGGCUUUGCUGCUAUGGGGCGUGAGCCUGCUUCAUGCUGGGAGCUCAGAUGGGGCAGCCUGCAGGAGGUCUUCCAGAUAAAGCUGGAGCAGGCGUCCCAGGCAGAAGGGGCAGUGACGCCGCAGCACAGGUGCGCAGAGCAGUAACAGUGCCGCGCGGCAAGAGCUCUGUGGGCCACGGUGUGCGGGACUACGUGAGCCGAGCCGAGACAUUUGUACUUCACCUCCGAACAGCAGGCUGAGUUGUCACUCUGGAGCUCCACGGCUGUGGACGGGAAUUGAAACACUGGUGACUGUCACUGCUGUGACAUUCUUUGGGCACCCCCAGGGUCUGCUGUUGCUACAGGAGAUGCUUGAUGCCUCGUUCACUUUGUUGCUGAGAGCUGGAUCACAGAGGCCUCCUGAAAAGAGCAAAAGGUGCCGAAUGUUGGAAGACAGUGUACAAGGGAACCCAGGCGGAGGGUAAGAGUCACUGGAAAACAAAAGAAAUGGUUUUUAAUUCAAAGAUGUUUGGGUGCUGGAGGCACUGUGGCUGGACUUGCACUUAUAGGAGGCAGCUGGGGACGGGUGCGGAGGUGGGGAUGGAAGAGAACACUGUGCUUCUGUGGGUGACAACGGAAAGCCUGGCCUGGGCGUUGGGCAGCACAGGAUUAGAGAGGAAAGAGACCAGGAAGGGGGUCCCGGCUAGGGAGGUGGCAGCACUGCCUGGUUCCUGUGAUGAAGCCUCAGAUGGUCCAGGAUUAAUGGGUAGAGGGGGGAGGGGUGCAGUUUUAUUGAGCACCUACUAUGUGCCAGGCCUCAUGGUAAGCGCUUCCGUAUACUCUGCAGCUCAUAGGACACGAGGUCUCUUCUCGAGCACUAAACACAGUUCCCAGUACCUGCCUCCUGCGGCGAGCUGUAAGCCCCACAGGGGCAGGACCAGUGUCUGUCUUGUGUCUGCUGUGUCCUCAGGACCUGUCAUAUUUUAGGUGCUCCACAAUGAUUUUGAAUGAUCCAACUUUCUUUUCCUCUCCCUCCUUCCUGCCCUCUUUCGUUUUCUCCCUCCCUUCCCUUCCUCUUCCCUUGUUCCAAGAUAAGGUGAGACAUCUCAUUUAAUCCUUCAAAUAGCCCAAAGUUAGGCUGUGGUUUGAGGAGUUUAUUUUGAAAACAUUGGGGAGAGUUUUACCAGAUCCAGUCGGUAGUGGAUUUUACAAGGAAGGAACUAAAGUUCAGAAGUGUUAAGUUACUUGCCUAAGGUCACACAGCUAAAAAGUAGUGGGGCUGAAAUCUGACCCAGUUACCUCUGAGGGCAAACACGCUUCCUCCCUAAGUGAGGGAACUAAGAUAACUUGGCCCCAGAGAUGGACAAAGCGAGGCCAGUAUUGCUGCAGCUGUGCGAUGCCAGGAAAAUGACUCCUCCCUCCACCCGCAUGGGUUUCUGUGUCCUGGUCUGAAGAAUCAGGCUGAGAUGUAACUGGAGGGGAAGCAGGCAGGACCAGGCUCCAGGACCCCCAGGCCAGCAGGGCUGAGGCAAGAAUCUGGGGCCACUCCAGGAGGAGAUGAUCUUAAGAUGAACCCGCAACAGUUGAGCUCUGUCUGACCUCUACCCAUCCGCAGUAAAUUGGUCCCUACUUCACAAAAGGUGACUAAUAAGAAAACCUCUCGAGGGGUGGGAUAGGGAGGGUGGGAGGGAGGGAGAUGCAAGAGGGAAGAGAUAUGGGAACAUAUGUACACGUAUAACUGAUUCACUUUGUUAUAAAGCAGAAACUAACACACCAUUGUAAAGCAAUUAUACUCCAAUAAAGAUGUAAAAAAAAUUAAAAAAGAAAGAAAACCUCUCUACAGGCACAUACUGGUUUUCAAACUUCUAACUAAGAAAAGGGUAGUUCACAUGAGAAACUGGUUCAGUGUCGAUGCUGGGAGCUUUUCUUACCUUUCCCUCAACUAUGCAGUUCUGAUCCAUCACAUUCAAGGCCAUGGAGAUUUUAUUGAGUUAUUACUUGGCCCGUGCUUUGCGCCAGGCUUAGAGAAGAAGAGAUGGAGUGGGGCUGGGGGCGGGACCCUGUGGGACGCUAGGAUUCCAUGCAAUUGGAGCCCCUGGCCAGUUCCUUCUGGGGCUGCGGGAGCUGGGAAGGGGGAGGCAUGACUAAGUCUUUCUGUCGCCUCUUUUCCUGUCCUGGGCUCAUGGUAGCCGCAGUGAGGGGGAGCUUGGGAAGUGAGCAGCUGGAGGGGCAGCCCUGUCCUGGUCUCGAGUGGGCCGAGCAGCAUCCCCGGGAGGAGGGGAGAGCAAAGUAUUUCCUGGGUGGCGACCUGGCCCCUCUCUGUGUCCCAAGUAAGUCUAAAGGAUCUAAGGUGACAUUUGACCAACUAGCCACAUCCCUUUAAUCUCCUUCCUCUUUGAGACCCCACUAAAACAACAACCAAGGAAUAAAAAGUAUCAGUCUGCAAGGACAAAGAAAAUAGGAGAGUGACAACAGUGUCUUAGUGAUUUCAACUGCUUUAAGUACUUUUUGGGCGGCAGGAAGCAGCUGGCCAGGUGAAGGAAUUGAUGGAGCAGGUCCUUACUGAAAGUGUGUGGUCCUUACUGACAGUGUGUUCCCAGAGGUGGCCGCACGUGGUGGUCAGAUGACCAGAUGCUUUGGCAUCCACUGUUCCAUCUGUGCAACGAAGUCUCGGUAUGACCUUGGCAAAGUCAGUUUCUGCUUUCUGAGGCUCGUUUGUUCCCCAUCUGUAAUAGAAAGAGACCGUACUAGAUUCUUAUCUGCUGGUGCCUGAAUUACCUGGAGUUUUCCUCCCCUGCCCCUCAACACGUAUAGGCACAUGUGUCUUGAUGUUGCUUCAGAAACAGGGUGAAGGUAUUUUUGCAUUUUUUGCUCUCCCAGGACACUUUCAGAGCCACUGCUGCAGAUGGUCUCCAAGGGAGCUUUCAACUCCGACACGCCAGGACUCCCACGCAGGUGUUAGGAUGGAGAAUACACGGAAUGGAGGGGUUGUAAGGAUGUAAGACCUUCAUGUGGGAGAUCCAGGCACAGAGGGGCUUCAAAGGAGGCUGAAGGCCUAUCUGUGGGGACAGCAGAAGGGCCUUUACAGAGACAACGACAUUUGCAAUGGAUGGAAUUCACAGAGGGAGACAAGGAGGAGGGCCCUGCAGGUGGAGGUUACGGUGGCAGCAAAUCCCGGAGAUAAGAAAGCAUGUGACCUGUUCAGAGACUUGCAAAUAUUGCAACAUGCGGGAAUCCAUGGAGACAUCACAUGGACCACAAAUGGCCAGGUUAGCAGCUUGCACUUCAUCCCAUUGACCAUGGGAAGCUAUCACGUUGGCCUUGUGAUUUUAACACACGGAUAUGGCCCAGCUACUUUUUCUUGAGCACCUGCUAGUGUUACUUACUCCACGCACUGCACACCAUGUCUUCCUGACCUGGCCACUUGGUCGCUGGACAGUCACACAUCUCUCCAGCCAUUUCCUCAUUCCGGGCACUGUCCUCCACGCUUCGCUGUCCUUACACAAGCUCCUUCCUCUGUGGAGAGGCCGCCUUCCACUUCAGCCUUCCUGCGGGAGACUCUGCUUGAAGAACAUUCCCCUGGGAGGCCUCUCCCCUGUGGGCAGCUCCCAGCCUGCCCUGCGCCCUCCACAUGGCACAUCCACUGCUGUCCUUACACCAACUGGCUUUUCCUUACUUAGCUGUGAUGCAAUGGCUUGCAUGUCAUCGGUAGCUGUCUUCCCUGGGGCUAACCAAGGACCAAGAACAGGGCAAGUGAUUGAAAAGUGUUGAGUGAUUGAAAAAAUAGAAAUUGCAACUAUCUGGGCCAGGCCCUUGACAGAAUGGAUCUUAUUGAAUGCUCCUCGGUCACCUGUGAGAUACGAGUUACUCUUUCCAUCUUGCACGGGAGAUGUGACUCGGCCGAGUUUAUGUAUCCGCUGAUUUGCAGAACUGGGAUUCAAACCCAUGUGUGUCUCAGUGCUGGUGCAGAGCUCUUCUGCUCUACCAUGUUCCUGGGACAGUAGCUCCAUCCCUGGAUGGAAAGACGUGACAUCAGAGGAGCCACAGACAGGCCACUUCCUCUCAUUCACCUUUUUCCACGUCCCAUUCAGCUGGGACAGCUUCUACUCAGCCUCUCAAGAUCCGUAUCUGUUCCUGCACUUAGGGAAGUUUCCCUACACCUCUCACACCACCCAGGGGAGGUAAGGAAAGGAGUUUUCCAUGUGGUCACUGGACGUGAGUAACCACCUCUUCUUCCUGUGACUUCCCCACCUCUGCACUGGGGCUUGGAAAACCCCACCCAUGUCUUCUAAUAAAAGCUCUGGGUACUGCAGGAUGGGCCAGAGGACAGCUCUUCACUCCACCAGACUCCUUGAGGGACUCCUUCCAGGGAGGCCUGAGCUGGACGUCCCGAGAUGAAGGUCAUCACCACCGCUCUGGUGUGCCUGCUGCUGGCCGGGGCAUGGCUACAGGAUGUGGAUGCCAAGAGCAAAAGAAUUCUCCCUGAAGAGGAGGAAGGGAGGACUUGCUCGGGGGCAGGGGGACAGCAGGAGAGCCAUAAGCCUGGGGCCAACACAGACCGCUGAGCAGCUGGCUUCAGCCAAAGGAGGCCAGCCUCGUCCAGACCCUGCGGACUGAUGGAGGGCAGCUGUGAGGUCAUUGAGGCCAAGCUGGAGGCCUGAGGUCCAGAGGAGGGACUGACUGGGGUCUCGCCUCCACUGUGUAACAGAUAACGGGCAGAGUCUGAGGUCAGGAUCUGGGGCUUUAACAGUUGGCUAACCUUGGGCAAGUUACUAUACCUCCCAAACUCUGGUUUCGCUAUCAGUAAGAUAGGUUUGAUCAUGCCUACCCUCUAAGGCUGAUGAGAGAAUACUGACCUAACAGCAGACAUAUGGAAAGGGCUUUGCAAACGGUCAAACUAGGAGGAAGGAGCCAGGAUUGAAAUGCAAGUCUUUUGAAGGUGGGGUGUGUGUAGGGGGGGUUACAAACCGGCAGAGUGGGAGUUGUGGGUCAGAGCUGAGAGGACCAGGGUGGAGGGUGAGGUUGGGAUUGCGUGGAGCUGAUCAGUUCCUGGAAGCUCUUGCCUGGUCAUUUCAUCAGUCUGAGCUCCUAAAACAGUCCCUAAUCCUGCCCCAAACAGUGGACUGCUGUUGAAUCAGACUCACAGGGUCUCGGGGCCCUUGAACCCAAAUGUAAGGGCAGAACCAUACCCUAGUGGUGGGAUGUCAGAACUAGAAUAGCCUUUCGAAAUCAGUCUAAAGAGUCUUGCUUUUCAGCUGGGAAGUCUGGGGCCCAGGGGAGGGAGGGCUCAUCUUGACCAAAGCCACACAGCUGUUUUGUGGGGAGCUGGGAUCUGAACCCCAGUGUCCUGACUGCCUAAAUACAGAACUGGGUGGCUGAUGAGACACUAGUGCCCUUUGGAUGUGAUCCCAAAGCCUGAGCCUGUUCUGGAAGGGUUUUUUGUCUUUUCUUUUUUCCCCAUCCUGGAUGAGAGGAACUCAGUCCAGCUUGAGAAAUGGAUGCAAACCAUUUUUGCGCUUCUCUUCUAGUGCAUGUGUCAUCCUCCAAGUGUUGUUUCACACUGGUGGAGAGAAAGAUGUCCCUGCAGAGAAUCCAGUGUUACAAGAACACCAGCUCCACCUGCUCCUACAAAAACCAUCUAA
RNA transcript from Aethalodelphis obliquidens (Pacific white-sided dolphin), 11665 nucleotides. It is a transcript of the gene named C-C motif chemokine ligand 1, with no coding region annotated. The record is from RefSeq and is a predicted model, not a curated record. Lineage: Eukaryota; Metazoa; Chordata; Mammalia; Artiodactyla; Delphinidae. The transcript is spliced from 2 exons.